Molecule: ribosomal RNA, 115 nt
Filed under: Danio rerio (zebrafish)
Lineage: Eukaryota; Metazoa; Chordata; Actinopteri; Cypriniformes; Danionidae
Source: RNAcentral
GCCGGCAGCUAGCUCUCUGCAACUCUCACAUGGUCGCCCACUGAAGCGAAGCAGAGCUGUGCCCAGUCAGUACCUGGAUGGGAGACCACAUGGGAAAACUAGGUUGCUGCCGGAA